UGAGUUUGAUCAUGGCUCAGGAUGAACGCUAGCGGGAGGCUUAACACAUGCAAGUCGAGGGGCAGCACGGGUAGCAAUAUCUGGUGGCGACCGGCGGAUGGGUGCGUAACGCGUAUGCAACCUUCCUUAUGCAGGGGGAUAGCCCAUGGAAACGUGGAUUAAUACCCCGUAAUAUCAUCGAAUCGCAUGUUUUGGUGAUUAAACGAAUUUCGGCAUAAGAUGGGCAUGCGUCUGAUUAGCUAGUUGGCAGGGUAACGGCCUGCCAAGGCUACGAUCAGUAGGGGUUCUGAGAGGAUUAUCCCCCACACUGGAACUGAGACACGGUCCAGACUCCUACGGGAGGCAGCAGUGAGGAAUAUUGGUCAAUGGGCUAAAGCCUGAACCAGCCAUCCCGCGUGCAGGAUGACAGCCUUAUGGGUUGUAAACUGCUUUUCUACAUAAAGAACGGGUCAUACGUGUAUGGCAUUGACGGUAGUGUAGGAAUAAGCGUCGGCUAACUCCGUGCCAGCAGCCGCGGUAAUACGGAGGAUGCAAGCGUUAUCCGGAUUCAUUGGGUUUAAAGGGUGCGCAGGCGGAGAGAUAAGUCAGUGGUGAAAAACUGCCGCUCAACGGUAGUCUUGCCAUUGAUACUGUCUUUCUUGAGUAUGGAUGAGGUAGGCGGAAUGUGCAGUGUAGCGGUGAAAUGCAUAGAUAUUGCACGGAACACCAAUUGCGAAGGCAGCUUACUGGGCCAUUACUGACGCUCAGGCACCAAAACGUGGGAAUCAAACAGGAAUAGAUACCCUGGUAAUCCCCCCCUUAAACAAUGUUCACUCCCUGUUUUCCAAAAACUGUAAGCGGGUUAGUUAAAGCAUUAAGUGAACCACCUGGGGAGUACGAUCGCAAGGGUGAAACUCAAAGGAAUUGACGGGGGCCCGCACAAGCGGAGGAACAUGUGGUUUAAUUUGAUGAUACGCGAGGAACCUUACCUGGGCUUAAAUGCAGGCUGCAUGCUGUGGAAACACACUUCCCUUCGGGGCUGCCUGCAAGGUGCUGCAUGGUUGUCGUCAGCUCGUGCCGUGAGGUGUCGGGUUAAGUCCCAUAACGAGCGCAACCCUUACCGUUAGUUGCCAUCAUUAAGUUGGGCACUCUAGCGAGACUGCCCGGGUUAACCGGGAGGAAGGUGGGGAUGACGUCAAAUCAUCAUGCCCCUUAUGUCUAGGGCUACACACGUGCUACAAUGGUCGGUACAAUAAGACGCAAGCCCGCGAGGGGGAGCAAAACUGGAAAACCGAUCUCAGUUCGGAUUGUAGGCUGAAACUCGCCUACAUGAAGCUGGAGUUGCUAGUAAUCGCGAAUCAGCAUGUCGCGGUGAAUACGUUCCCGGGCCUUGUACACACCGCCCGUCACACCAUGAGAGUUGGCAAUACCCAAAGUACGUGAUCUAACCCGCAAGGGAGGAAGCGUCCUAAGGUAGGGUCAGCGAUUGGGGUGAAGUCGUAACAAGGUAACA
This 1492-nucleotide ribosomal RNA is filed under the name uncultured bacterium. Its description in RNAcentral is "bacterial SSU rRNA". It matches the Rfam family "Bacterial small subunit ribosomal RNA". The record is from RNAcentral.